AGGGCAUGUAGGGUUCGCCACAAGGUUGAAGUAUUAUUUUGGCAACCCCCCAUGCCACCA
Molecule: non-coding RNA, 60 nt
Filed under: Spodoptera frugiperda (fall armyworm)
Lineage: Eukaryota; Metazoa; Arthropoda; Insecta; Lepidoptera; Noctuidae
Source: RNAcentral